CUUUUCCCGCUGCAACGCUCCCCCCUUUGCCACCCGACGAUGUCCCAUCAACUACGGUCUGUUUCCAAUGACUUAGGUCUAAAUGGAGAGAUAGCUCGGAGGACAUUGGGAGGACGGCGAUUAAAGCUCGUUGGAAGCGGCUUUUAGUCGGGGAGGGUGCCCACGCCCCAGCCAUCGCCGCCCUCGCUGGACGCUUAGCCAUCCAGGUCCUCUAUUUCAAUAUCAAUGCCCUAUGGAGGGAGUUGGCCGAUGCAGAUCUCAUGCACUGUUGUGAAAAGUGGGAACAACCCUUGCCAUCCUCUGUGACUCAGAACUUCAUAAACUUCUUUUGCCGUGGACACACCCUUCAAGAGUUGUGAAGUCAGAUCAUAGAGUACAGAAGAUGCACAUUUUAGAAUGCUCAAUUAUAUUUUAGUGAAUAUGCAGUUCCAUGUAAUUUAACCAUGUCGAAAGAAGAUUU
Elaeis guineensis (African oil palm) is the source of this 460-nucleotide long non-coding RNA. RefSeq lists it as uncharacterized. Lineage: Eukaryota; Viridiplantae; Streptophyta; Magnoliopsida; Arecales; Arecaceae. The record is from RefSeq and is a predicted model, not a curated record.